UUUUUUUUUUUUUUUUUUUUUUUGUCUUUUGUCUUUUUGUCUGUUGUUGUUGUUGAUGUUGUUGUUGCUGUUGUUGCUAUUUCUUGGGCCGCUCCCGCGGCAUAUGUAGGUUCCCAGGCUAGGGGUCGAAUCGGAGCUGUAGCCACCGGCCUACGCCAGAGCCACAGCAACACGGGAUCCGAGCUGCGUCUGCAACCUACACCACAGCUCACGGCAACGCCGGAUCGUUAACCCACUGAGCAAGGGCAGGGACCGAAGCCGCAACCUCAUGGUUCCUAGUCGGAUUCGCUAACCACUGCGCCACGACGGGAACUCCUAAUUUUGUUGUUUUUAGAAGUGAAGUUGAGCUCCAGUCCUUCUAUUCCAUGAUCUUAAUCCUGUCUCUCUGUAGAUGUCCUUUUAUCUUCAUUUUUUUUAAGGGCUGUAGGUGUAGCAUAUAGUUAUACUUUUUAAUAUCCCUUUAGUUUCUUUGAACAUAAAUACACUUAAUUAAAAAUUAUUUUAUUAUAGUUGAUUUACAAUGUUCUGUCAAUUUCUGCUGUACUACACUUAAUUGAUUAAUUAAUUUUUUGUUUUUUAGGGCUGCUCCUGCUGCAUAUGGAGGUUCCCAUGCUAGGGGUCCAAUUGGAGCUGUUGCUGCCAGCCUAUGCUAGAGCCAUAGCAGUGCCAGAUCCGAGCCGUGUCUGUGACCUACACCACAGCUCACGGCAACGCCAUGAUCCUUAACCCACUGAGUGAGGCUGGGGAUCGAACCCGCAACCUCAUGGUUCCUAUUUGGAUUCAUUUCCACUGUGCCACAAAGGGAACUCUGCAUAUUUAAUCUUGCUUGAGCUUCAUAGUUUCUGUUUUUCAAGGAAUUUGUCCAUUUUAUCUAAGUUGUCGAAUUUUUAUACAGUUCAUAAUACUCUAUUCUUUUUUUUUUUUACAUAUUUAAAUACUUAGUAUAGUUAUGUAAAAAUUUAGACAUCCAUUGCUAUCACAUAUGCAUAUUAAGAAAUGUAUGGGUUCUUAUAGAAAUUUACAUACAUAAUUAAUAAUUAAUGUUAGUCAUUUUGCCUCAAAUUCAACAUCUUUCAAACCAUAGGUAAUAUUUUCUUUAAAUUUUGGCAUAAAUUUUGAAUAUAGAACCCACAGAGAAUCUUACGUAACCCGACACUCAACAAAAUCAAGUUUUAUUUGUUUAGAGGUUCUAGAUAUUUUCAAAGGCACAUAAAAUAUUUGUUUUAAAAGUUAAAAACUUGUGGCGAUCAUUUUGUACUGUAGAUAUACUGAAUCCCUAUGUGGUGCUCCUGGAACUAACACAGUGUUUAGGUUAAUUCUACAUCAAUUAAAAAUAAAGCAAAAAAAAAUAAAAAAACACUGCACGUAAGCCCCAUAGAAGUGUGUUUCAUUUAAAGAAAGCCACAACAGAAUCAUGGCUCACUGAAAUAUUAUUUGCAUUACAAAAGGACCCUUCACUCCAUAAAAGGAGUUGUCUGAACUCCAUUAAAUGACAACCCUUCAAAAAAAAAACCCAAAACCAAAAAAAAAAAAA
This 1534-nucleotide long non-coding RNA is filed under the name Sus scrofa (pig). RNAcentral describes it as "lncRNA (ENSSSCG00005037444.1)". The record is from RNAcentral. Lineage: Eukaryota; Metazoa; Chordata; Mammalia; Artiodactyla; Suidae.